ACGUCAUCCCCACCUUCCUCCGGUUUGUCACCGGCAGUCUGGCGUGAGUCCCCAACUUAAUGCUGGCAACACUUCACGGGGGUUGCGCUCGUUGCGGGACUUAACCCAACAUCUCACGACACGAGCUGACGACAGCCAUGCAGCAUCUGUGGUGCACCCUCGAAGGUCACACGUUUCCGUGCGCUUGCAGCACCAUGUCAAGUCCAGGUAAGGUUCUUCGCGUUGCAUCGAAUUAAAGAACAUGCUCCGCUGCUUGUGCGGGCCCCCGUCAAUUCUUUUGAGUUUUAGCCUUGCGGCCGUACUCCCCAGGCGGAACACUUAUCGCGUUGGCUGCGGCACAGACAGAUUCGACUCCGCCCACACCUAGUGUUCAUCGUUUACGGCGUGGACUACCGGGUAU
RNAcentral lists this unclassified non-coding RNA (400 nucleotides) under uncultured fungus. Its description in RNAcentral is "sequence contains ITS1". Lineage: Eukaryota; Fungi. The record is from RNAcentral.